This 253-nucleotide ribosomal RNA is filed under the name uncultured bacterium. Its description in RNAcentral is "partial 16S ribosomal RNA". It matches the Rfam family "Bacterial small subunit ribosomal RNA", at positions 524 to 776 of the family's 1533-position model. The record is from RNAcentral.
UACAGAGGUCCCAAGCGUUGUUCGGAUUCACUGGGCGUAAAGGGUGCGUAGGUGGUGGGGUAAGUCGGAUGUGAAAGCUCGGAGCUCAACUCCGAAAUGGCAUUGGAUACUACCCUGCUAGAGGAUUGGAGGGGGGACUGGAAUACUUGGUGUAGCAGUGAAAUGCGUAGAUAUCAAGUGGAACACCAGUGGCGAAGGCGAGUCCCUGGACAAUACCUGACACUGAGGCACGAAAGCUAGGGGAGCAAACAGG